AUCUACUCAAAAAGCCUAACAGAUAUCAUCCUGGAUGUGGUUUUUAAUGAUUUGGAAAAAAAGGCAGCCCGUGGAGACAGCGAUUUGAGACAGCAGCAUAUUUAGGUUAUUUGCAGUUUGAAACACCGUGGUUUGUGAAGCCGAGCCUAAGGGGCAAGUUCGGUAACUGAGAAAGAGAUCGUGGAUGAAGAAAUAAAAAUGACGAACGUGGUGGCGGCUCUGAGGAAGGACUGCCAGAGCAUCGGUCCAUGGAUGGCAAUUUCGCGAGGCUGAGACUGAAUAAUUCAUAGAUUGAAAUUACCCUGCUUUCACCUUUCUAUUUAAACUGGCAUGAUCUGAAUCUCUAAUAAAUUUUCAAGAUGAAGUGAAACGCCAAUUUGAAUCUGAAGAGCUUUUAAAACCAGAUGCUGCAUCCCUGAACCUCCUGGUAUAUUCCACAAUUAUCCUGUGAGAACCGCUCUUCAUCACGAAGCACCAUUACCAGGGAAAAUUACUGUGAUCACAAUAGCAACAACAGGAUACCGUCAAAGGAUUUCUAAUUUACCUAAUUUGCUAAGACUGUGUGGGUUUAAUGCCCAUUGUAUGUCGCCGUGCCUGGCACCCGUGGAUUUAUCUCACACCGGGACAAAAAUGAGGCAGCGUGUAUAAUAAAUAUCUUGAAUCUGAAAGCUUAGCAAAGAACAUCCUCUUAGGUUACAACAUCUCUUUCAUCUGGUUUUAUUUUUUUCCAAUGCCUAUCCCCCAAAUGUCUGUUUGGGGGAAGUGGUGAGCCUGUCAUGGAUUUGGGGUUGAUUCUUUGAUACAGAAGAGUAUGGACUUGUUCAUUUACACGCCCUCUUUAUUUUAAUGUAUGUGAGCGUGUCCUCACCGGAAGGACAGAUCCUGUUCUGGGAGGGCAGCUUGAACAUGUGGCCAAAGUGAAACAUGCCUUUCUUUAUUUUUUGAAACCCCAUCUGCUUUCAGGUCGGAGAGCCUCUCAGGGAAUUAAAAUCCUGGGGGAUGUGUUUAAAAAAACAAAACAAAAUAUCUCAGCUUGAAAAGCUUGAGAGACACAUAUAGUAAUAACUCUGUGCAGCUUUUAUUGAAAGCAUGUAUGUUCCAUCGGGUGAUUGACUGAAGCCCUGCCACAGCUUUGGCUGUGCUCACACCUGCUCAUUCUCUGGCAAUCUGACCCAAAGAGAACUUUUCUGACAGGCUGUGUGACCCAUGGCAGGGUGACUAUGCCACCCGAGAAAGUGGCAUGGCUCGUAAGACCUCACUUCGAACAGACUGCGGUCACCUAACAGGCACAGUGAGUUCUGGAAUUCCGCUCUGAGUACAUGAAGACGGGCUGUGAGUUCCUGCUAGCCCAGGGAUUUAGGCUUUGAUGAUCUGAGCCCCUUAGCUCUGCCGUUUACCCACGGGUUCUCAGGGCUGUCCUGCUUCCGCACCAGCACCCCCAUCAGAGGAGCACAGUGCCUGGCCCUGUGUGGUGUUUGCCGUCAUCCUGUCAGCACCCGGGGCUGGAGUCCUUGAACUCAGCUGGACCUCCACCAAGGGGCCGUCUGACAGAUCCCAGCAGACCGCCCUCUCCUCCUACGUCCACACGUGCUAAUCCUGACGGCCCUCCCAGUACAGCGCCCCCUCCUAAGGUCUAAAGGUCCCCAGUACGAGCAGAUCUCAGUGAUGGCUGUUCCCUCCUAGGGGAGGUGCCAGGUCCCCUCAGGCGUCCCCCUGGAGAUGACCCUUGUUUUCCUUCGGAAAUCUGUAUUACAAAAUCAAGUCAUGGAAUAGUUACAAGAAUAACUAAAAUUUAAUUAAAAAAAGAUGGGGAGGCAGAGGGCCUUUUCCUCAUGGAGGUCAAAGGCAGCAUUGUGGAAUAUUCGUUUUCUAGCUCAUCUCCUCCUGAUCCUGUCUGUCCCACAGAACACAGCAGAUGCCUGCAGAUCUACCAGGGAAAUAAAACCCUCACUGGGGAGGAAGGGCCGCCCUGGGCCUCAGUCUGGAGAGCCGUGCGUCACAGGAUCCUGCUCUGCCCUCCGCUGUCAUUCCCUGCCCCGCCCUCGGCACAGGGCAAGACGUAGCCAGUCGAGGGGAUGUAUACACCCAGAGUCUGCUUUCCUUGCUUCUUGAACGUGCGUAGGGUAUUGGGACCCUGCAGUUCUGAAUUCCAGCACAAACAUCCCUGAACCUCAAGAGCCAUGUGGCCAAGGCUGAACGGUGCGGUCCGGUGCGCGGGGCGGUCCGGAGCGCAGCGUGGUCCAGUGCGCGGUGUGGUGCGCGGGGCAUCCGGUGCAUGCUCCCAGCCCUGGGAGGGGACGGGGCAGGCCAUCAGGGAGCGAUCGCAGACGGAUCACUGGGGACCCACAGUGAGGAGGAAGGCAGGCUUCCGGAGAGCACCUGCAGGGCAGCAAGCAUCCUCGAUUCAACUCUGGUCUCAGGAAGGCUUACUCGUCCAGGUAAGAGAGUAGAGUUUAUCUUAUUUAGCAACGUGCUGGCCUGACUUGUACCUCUGAGAGGUCUGGCACUGUGGUGGUGGGGGUAUCCAUUUGUGCUCUGGGCCCGAGCUCUGCAGGUGUUGGGUCCGGCCCAGCCCGAGUGGGCUUUCCCAGCGAGGUCUCCGUUCUCCGAGAAAGUGACUGGUUGGUGGUAAUCGUAUUAGUGGAGAAAUAAAUCUUUACUGUCAGUUACAAAGGGAGGAAGGCCACUAUAGUCUAAAAUUAGGAAGCCCAUUCUUCUGUUGAAGUUUUUAAUCCAAAAACAUUUUUUAAAUAAGCAAAUGAUAAAAGUAUGAAAGUUCAGUUUUGUGUUUACUAUGUUCUAGCAAGUGAAAAUAGUUCUAUCUACCUCUGUCCUGUUCCUGGCACAUCAGAGAGGUGUGCCGGGGUGUGUGCCUGGCCGAGCCGGGGCGCCGGCGGCCUGCGGGAGCAGUCAGGUGUCACUCGGAGUUCCCGCGGCUCAGGAUGUGGGUCCGAAGCGGCCACUUGAUGCAGCCACCCAAAGUCACCACCUCUCUUUCACUGCACUGAAUUCAAUAAUCAGUACUGAAUGGGUGAUUUUAGAAAGGUUAAGAAAUUAGUACACCAUGGAGGGAGAGUCAUUGUUUCAUAAAAUAAAGCCUGGAAUAAACGUGACCAUUUUCUCAACUGAAUUUCCUAAGAAAAUUCAGGGACCAAAAAAAAAAGAGACUUGGGGAGUGUGGAGACAGAUGUGUCUGGGACUGAGCAUGGGUUCAGCUCGCAGUAAAUGACAAGACCUGUGGACGGCGUUCAGGCCCCACAACAAACCCCAGGGCGGAUACCGAGCCUGGAGCCACACAGCUGGGCUUGGACUCCUCAUUCUGCCGCUCACCAUCUGUGUGGUCUCCGGUGACUGUUAACCCCUCUUUGGGUGUCGGUCUCCUCAUACGUAAGGUAGGAACAAUAGUGCCCUCCUCAUAGGUUAGGAAUAAGGAUUAGCUUAGUAUUUGCAAGACACUUAGGAGAAUGUCCAGCACGUAGUAGGUGCUGUGGAAGCCUUACAGAGAGGUUAUUGACUUGUUCCCCAACCACAAAGUGAAUUAAUAAAACAUCCACCACCCAACACGGAUAUUCAAACAUCAGGCAUAUUUCUGAAAAUUACACAUUGCCCAAGAGCUGAUUUUGGCCAAAAUAAAAAUAUAAAAUUUGCAUCAAUUACAUCUCUAAAGGAGAAACAAAAGGAUCUUAAAAAAAAAAAAUCCUACCGGUAUAGUUACCCUGGUAUCGUAAGUUUUUGUCCUGCCUCUUCUGCAUUUUGUAUUUUGCUUCCCUUUGUCACUCUAUUCCAGUUGGCCUGUACUCCUAACCAGGGAGUCUAUCAGGGGAGCCCAGCACUCCAGGGAGAGGCCAGUGCCACCCACAUACCACCAUCCCCUUCCGUGAGCAUCGUUCCCAAAGCACAUACUGGAUGAAAGAAAUGGGGAAAAAGCAGAGGCAUAAAAAGGAAAAUGAACCUCAACCACAAUUCUGCCUCUCUUGACACUGACUGUGUACGAUACAAUCAUGCAUAUAUGUAAAUAAAUCCCAAAACUUGGAUUGCUUUGUAACCUACCAUUUAUGAGUAUAUCAAGAGUACAUUUCCAAAC
Molecule: long non-coding RNA, 4084 nt
Organism: Manis pentadactyla (Chinese pangolin)
Lineage: Eukaryota; Metazoa; Chordata; Mammalia; Pholidota; Manidae
Exons: 3
Source: RefSeq, a predicted model, not a curated record